RNAcentral lists this non-coding RNA (29 nucleotides) under Rattus norvegicus (Norway rat). Lineage: Eukaryota; Metazoa; Chordata; Mammalia; Rodentia; Muridae. The record is from RNAcentral.
UCCUUUAGGAGAGGGCAAUGGGCCUCGGG